AAAGGCGUAACGAUUUGAGCGCUGUCUCGACAACACACCCGGUGAAAUUGUAGUACUCGUGAAGAUGCGAGUUACCCGCGACAGGACGGAAAGACCCCGUAGAGCUUUACUGUAGUCUGGCAUUGAGUUUUGAUAUGACAUGUACAGGAUAGGUGGGAGGCUGAGAGCCAUGCACGCCAGUGUGUGAGGAGCCGCUGUUGGGAUACCACUCUUGUGAUAUUGGAAUUCUAACGCGUUACCGUGAUCCGGUAAGCGGACAGUG
Molecule: ribosomal RNA, 262 nt
Filed under: Escherichia coli
Lineage: Bacteria; Pseudomonadati; Pseudomonadota; Gammaproteobacteria; Enterobacterales; Enterobacteriaceae
Description: partial 23S ribosomal RNA
Rfam family: Bacterial large subunit ribosomal RNA
Source: RNAcentral